GAUAAACGCUGGCGGCGUGCCUAACACAUGCAAGUCGAACGAUCCCGCAAGGGAGAGUGGCGGAAGGGUGAGUAACACGUGGGAAUCUACCUCCUCGCAGGGAACAACCUCUCGAAAGAGAGGCUAAUACCCAAAAGGGUCAGUAAUGAUCAGAGUCGAAAGGCGUGAGGAGAGGAGCCCGCGGCCCAUCAGCUAGUUGGUGAGGUAAUGGCUUACCAAGGCUACGACGGGUAGGGGAUCUGAGAGGAUGUCCCCCACACUGGAACUGAAACACGGUCCAGACGCCUACGGGUGGCAGCAGUGAGGAAUAUUGGACAAUGGGCGAAAGCCCGAUCCAGCAACGCCGCGUGGAGGAUGAAGGCCUUCGGGUCGUAAACUUCUUUAGAGGGAGACGAGAAAGGACGGUAUCCCUAGAAUAAGCGACGG
RNAcentral lists this ribosomal RNA (426 nucleotides) under uncultured bacterium. Its description in RNAcentral is "bacterial SSU rRNA". It matches the Rfam family "Bacterial small subunit ribosomal RNA", at positions 28 to 496 of the family's 1533-position model. The record is from RNAcentral.